CCUUCCGGUGAGCAUACGAGCUUAAACGGACGCGGUAAAUCGUGCUAAGGUAGCUAAAUUAUGGCCUAUUAAUUGUAGGUCUUGUGAAUGGUUUGACGAGUUCCCGACUGUCUCUAGUUUGUUGAGGAGAACUUGAAUUGAAAGUGCAAAUGCUUUUAUGGGUUAGAAAGACGAGAAGACCCCGUGAAGUUAAGAAAUUUCUAUUAUAGCGUUAAUUUCCUGUAGUUAACGAGUAUUGUUUAAGCAUUCUGGGGUUUUGAGGAAAAAAUAGUGAUUUUCAUGGCUAUUUUCCUCACUUUCUUGGAAGGAGCUUAAUAAGUUUGAAAGUAUAGUUUUGAUAAGUUUUGGCUGGGGCAGCAAAGAGGCAAAUUUAGACCUUUUUUUUCUUUUAGACAGGUGUGUUACGACCCACAGUUUAUAAAAGUGUGAUUAACAGAAGGAGUUACUCCGGGGAUAACAGCGUUAUCCGUCCUGAUAGUUCUUAUUGACGGGCGGGUUUGCGACCUCGAUGU
This 512-nucleotide ribosomal RNA is filed under the name Mesopeplum convexum. Its description in RNAcentral is "partial 16S ribosomal RNA". It matches the Rfam family "Bacterial large subunit ribosomal RNA", at positions 1858 to 2532 of the family's 2925-position model. The record is from RNAcentral. Lineage: Eukaryota; Metazoa; Mollusca; Bivalvia; Pectinida; Pectinidae.